GGUGAUGUGGCUCAGUUGGUAGAGUGAUUGCCUAGCAUGCACCAGGCCCUGGGUUCAAUCCCCAGCACCACACA
This 74-nucleotide transfer RNA is filed under the name Marmota monax (woodchuck). RNAcentral describes it as "tRNA.Ala". It matches the Rfam family "tRNA". From Rfam's summary of the family: Transfer RNA (tRNA) molecules are approximately 80 nucleotides in length. Their secondary structure includes four short double-helical elements and three loops (D, anti-codon, and T loops). The record is from RNAcentral. Lineage: Eukaryota; Metazoa; Chordata; Mammalia; Rodentia; Sciuridae.